This is a long non-coding RNA of Diprion similis, 108 nucleotides long. RefSeq lists it as uncharacterized. The record is from RefSeq and is a predicted model, not a curated record. The transcript is spliced from 3 exons. NCBI's taxonomy places the organism in Eukaryota, Metazoa, Arthropoda, Insecta, Hymenoptera, Diprionidae.
CAUACAAUUUUUAUCGAUUGAAAAUAGUACAUUAUGUAAUAAGGGAAUAGUCGACUUUUAUUCCUGUGUUACAUAUAGUACUUUAUUUCCGACUCAACUCUGGCCACA